AUUGAACGCUGGCGGCAGGCCUAACACAUGCAAGUCGAGCGGAUGAAGGGAGCUUGCUCCUGGAUUCAGCGGCGGACGGGUGAGUAAUGCCUAGGAAUCUGCCUGGUAGUGGGGGAUAACGUCCGGAAACGGGCGCUAAUACCGCAUACGUCCUGAGGGAGAAAGUGGGGGAUCUUCGGACCUCACGCUAUCAGAUGAGCCUAGGUGUGAUUAGCUAGUUGGUGGGGUAAAGGCCUACCAAGGCGGCGAUCCGUAACUGGUCUGAGAGGGUGAUCAGUCACACAUAACGUGAGACGCGAUCCAGACACUGAGGUGAGGCAGAGGGGGGGAAUGUAGGAAAAGGGGGGAAAGCUUGACCCAGCCAGGCAGGGGGUGUGAAGAAGGGCUGCGGGUUGGAAAGCAUUUUUAGUUGGGAAAAAGGGCAGUAAGUGAAAACCUGGCUGUUUGACGGUAACAAAAAAAAAAGCCACGGCUAACUUCGUG
RNAcentral lists this ribosomal RNA (483 nucleotides) under uncultured bacterium. RNAcentral's name for it is "partial 16S ribosomal RNA". It matches the Rfam family "Bacterial small subunit ribosomal RNA", at positions 29 to 507 of the family's 1533-position model. The record is from RNAcentral.